RNAcentral lists this unclassified non-coding RNA (409 nucleotides) under Hevea brasiliensis (rubber tree). Lineage: Eukaryota; Viridiplantae; Streptophyta; Magnoliopsida; Malpighiales; Euphorbiaceae. The record is from RNAcentral.
UUUUUGUUCUUGGAAAAAAAAAACACAAUAUUUUCUUUAUCUUAGCCUAUAAACAAAGACUGACAUUUUUGGAAAUAUCACGUGUUUGGAUUGAGUGUGCUACAAUUCUUAGCAUCACUAAUUUUAUAAAAGCUUGUCAAUCCUGCAACAUCUAAAUCUUAACUUGCUAUUUACAGAAGCAUGGAUAAAACCAAAUUUGCUUCUGGGGUUAGCGCCAGUACUGAGCCCAGCGAUGAAUGGUCUCAACCAUUUGUGGGAACAAUGCACUAACACUCUCAUUAAUAAGAUCCUGGAAAAAGUGUAUGGCAGCCUCAUCAUCCAGAUCCAACCGAAACUUCUCUUGAAGCUUAAGAAUGCUCUUUUCAGGAUCAAAAGCUAUGUCCGGAAUAUUGGAACCCGCUAUCAGGUG